GUGAAUUCCACAGCCCCCACCCCUGCCCUCAGCCUCCUUCAAAGUGGCCGCUGGGGCUGGGGUCUGUCUUUGCAGAGGUGCCAGGCCACAUGCCCUGCCCACCUCUACCAGCUAUGCCGCCUCUGAAGUUCCUCCAGCGGCACUGAGGAGGGGCCCUGUGGUCGAGGGUGCAGUUAAACGAGGCCCGACCGGGUAGUUGAGCUCAGCUUGGCUGUACUUGUCUUCCUUGGACCUGCUGGGCACCCCCAGGCCUCUCUUUCCAGAGCCACAGGGGCCACCUGACAUCUCACAGGCUCAUCUACCUUCCAAGACCAGCUCAUCACUUCUGGCACCCCUCUCUAUAGUUGCCUCCCAAAGUCUCCCAUCUUAUACCCACGGCCCCCUGGGCAUCAAGCUGGACAUCUGGGAACAACCUUCAGCACCAAGUCCCCCCACCACUCAUCUGGACUUGCAAAAGUCUCCUUACUGGUCUCGCUGUCAUCCAGGAGCCAUGGUGAAUUACUUAAAAAUUCUUUUCUUCAGCGAGGCGCAGUGGCUCAUUCCUAUAAUCCCAGCACUUUGGGAGGCUGAGGUUGUGAGUCCCAUGAGGUCGAGGCGGCAGAAAGCAGC
Molecule: long non-coding RNA, 609 nt
Filed under: Homo sapiens (human)
Lineage: Eukaryota; Metazoa; Chordata; Mammalia; Primates; Hominidae
Description: HSALNT0363865
Source: RNAcentral